GGCCGCGGGAAUUCGAUUCAGGCCUAACACAUGCAAGUCGAACGGCAGCACGGAGCUUGCUCUGGUGGCGAGUGGCGAACGGGUGAGUAAUAUAUCGGAACGUACCCUGGAGUGGGGGAUAACGUAGCGAAAGUUACGCUAAUACCGCAUACGAUCUACGGAUGAAAGUGGGGGAUCGCAAGACCUCAUGCUCGUGGAGCGGCCGAUAUCUGAUUAGCUAGUUGGUAGGGUAAAAGCCUACCAAGGCAUCGAUCAGUAGCUGGUCUGAGAGGACGACCAGCCACACUGGAACUGAGACACGGUCCAGACUCCUACGGGAGGCAGCAGUGGGGAAUUUUGGACAAUGGGCGAAAGCCUGAUCCAUCAAGGCCGCGUGAGUGAAGAAGGCCUUCGGGUU
This 397-nucleotide ribosomal RNA is filed under the name uncultured bacterium. Its description in RNAcentral is "bacterial SSU rRNA". It matches the Rfam family "Bacterial small subunit ribosomal RNA", at positions 39 to 424 of the family's 1533-position model. The record is from RNAcentral.